RNAcentral lists this non-coding RNA (20 nucleotides) under Arabidopsis thaliana (thale cress). Lineage: Eukaryota; Viridiplantae; Streptophyta; Magnoliopsida; Brassicales; Brassicaceae. The record is from RNAcentral.
GCGGGGAUAGCUCAGUUGGG